Long non-coding RNA from Homo sapiens (human), 366 nucleotides. Ensembl annotates it as long intergenic non-protein coding RNA 1096. The record is from Ensembl. Lineage: Eukaryota; Metazoa; Chordata; Mammalia; Primates; Hominidae.
UCCGGAAGACGCGGAACGUAGCCCCUUUCUCACACUCCUGGGACACAAAAAUACCCGACAACUCAAAGUCGCCAAACCACAUCUUUUCAUGCUUUGAAGACUUCUGCCCAAGGCUGUGGCAGGAGUACCCUACAAGGUUUGCACAAAGCAAGAAAGCAUCAUGUAACCGAAAUGCUGAAAAGUAUAGAUGCUGCAAAACCUCAUUCUGAGACUGAGAACUAUGAAUAGUCAGUGUAUUUCCUUCUGCGGUGCAGAAAAAGAACAACCAAAAAGAAAGCAACAAGGGGAGAUGUUAUUUAUUUUAAUGACACCAAAACUACCAAUCCUAGCAAUUUAAUAAAUUAAAAUCAUAGUCCUUUAAAUGUA